GCCCGCGUAGCUCAGCGGAUAGAGCGUCUGCCUCCGGAGCAGAAGGUCGUAGGUUCGAAUCCUGUCGCGGGCAC
This 74-nucleotide transfer RNA is filed under the name Brevibacterium casei. Its description in RNAcentral is "tRNA-Arg(ccg)". It matches the Rfam family "tRNA". Rfam says of the family: Transfer RNA (tRNA) molecules are approximately 80 nucleotides in length. Their secondary structure includes four short double-helical elements and three loops (D, anti-codon, and T loops). Further hydrogen bonds mediate the characteristic L-shaped molecular structure. tRNAs have two regions of fundamental functional importance: the anti-codon, which is responsible for specific mRNA codon recognition, and the 3' end, to which the tRNAs corresponding amino acid is attached (by aminoacyl-tRNA synthetases). tRNAs cope with the degeneracy of the genetic code in two manners: having more than one tRNA (with a specific anti-codon) for a particular amino acid; and 'wobble' base-pairing, i.e. permitting non-standard base-pairing at the 3rd anti-codon position. The record is from RNAcentral. Lineage: Bacteria; Bacillati; Actinomycetota; Actinomycetes; Micrococcales; Brevibacteriaceae. RNAcentral also lists the same sequence under 1 other name.